This is a long non-coding RNA of Dromaius novaehollandiae (emu), 2389 nucleotides long. RefSeq lists it as uncharacterized. NCBI's taxonomy places the organism in Eukaryota, Metazoa, Chordata, Aves, Casuariiformes, Dromaiidae. The transcript has 5 exons. The record is from RefSeq and is a predicted model, not a curated record.
CCCACCGCCGCGGCGCUUGGCCUGGCAGCGGCCGGGCGGUGGCGCAGGAAAGCGGCAAGGCAGCACUGCACAAUUGUUCUGGUGGCACUGCUGGCUGGGAGACCGGCUGGGGCCGCCAGAGCUGGGUGCUGCUGGAGCGAGAGGUGCCAGCGGAGGGUCGCAGCUCCAGGAGGACUCUCGAAAGGAGCCAUGGAGUACUAUCUUGCUGCUGGCGCCCGAAAUAUAGAUGGAGUGCUGAGCGCAAAGGAGAAUAGGGGUGAGCUGUGCAAGAAGGCUAUUGAGAUGGUGGCCUGAAUGCCCAUGAGCGUCUCUGUCUUUCUAGCUUGAGUGCAGAAGACAGCAGGUGUAGUAAGAUGUACCGAGCUACUGGACAUCCCGCUCGGGGUCAAAAUCCCUUUGUUGCCUGGCUCCCACCCUGUCUUCUGCCAGACCAAGCUGGGGGAAAAGGUGGUUUGCACUCUGUGGGAGUUCAACGAAUACAGGCAGUAUCUGAUGACACUCAAAAUAGAGGCUGACAAAAUGUGCCAGCGAGAACAAGUUUCUUGCCAUGACUGUGCAGAGGAUGGAGAAGCUUGAGGCCCUUGAAGAAGAGAAACGCCUCCUCCAGCAGGCUGAGCGAGACCAGAAGUCUUUACGUGAAGAGCUGCAUAGUGAAAUCCGGACUACGCUGAUAGGGACUACAAGGACAGAAGCCCAGGAGCUGGAAGAGGUGGCUGAGAGCAUGCUGGAGGAAGUGCUGGAGAGGGUGAAAGAGCUGGAUUGGUUGGUCCAUGUUUUAAGGAGGGCUCCACUGGCAAUCAGUGGAAGGUUGCUUGCUAGUGCUAGAAGGGCAGAGCCUUCUGAGACGACAUCUCCAGAUCUCCAGGAGGAAAUUGGACUGGUGGCUAGAGAGAUUGUAGCAACCGUUACUGAUGCCUUAGGGAAGCAUUUGGUAUGCAGUGCAUCAGAUGCCUGUGAGCCCAGGCUGUCGGCCGGGCAGAGGGAGCCGUACGUAGCCGCACGAGCCAGGUGAGCUGGCAAACUGGAAGAAAGCAGGCUGAGGGCAGCUGAAUUACCAGGCUAUAACAGCAACUUCUCUGGCUUCUCUUGACAAAAUCGCCAAAGAUGCUGUUGAGAGGGUUGGAUCCACCUUGGAAUCGUUUGUAGCUUUGCAAUUUGAACAUCACUUGCACUGUCAAUUUGCUGAAAUCCUGAAGCUGCCCCUUGAGACUAUUUCUAAGAGACAACUGCAGGCAUGCCGGACACCUUUCUCAACCCGAGCGAUGAAGGAAGUAGAAGCAUCAUGUAGAGCAUCCAAACAGCAGAAGCCACAAGGUUGCCCGUGUUGCAACCAUUCCACAAUGUUGCUGCCGUAUCACGAGAGAGUAGCACGCUUGCAAGGCGUAGCAUCCAAAAUGCAAUGUCCCAAGUUCAGCAAGUCCAUUCAGAAGGAAAUGUGUAUGCUGCAAUUGUUGUCCAUGAUGCUCUGGAAACCCUGAAGAAGCAGCAGCAGAAGUUAGAAAGAGAAAUGAAUGCAAAGGCAAGAUCCUUCAAGGACACUUCAGAAGAAAGCACCAUGGAGAGUGGGCUAGUGGAGUUGCUGUUAGAUCAAUGCGGUCAACCUCUGACUGCUGUUGCUUCAGGAGUGAAUUGUGGGAGGCAGGUCGCAAAGCAGCCCAGCCCAAGAGAUGGGGAUGAGAGCUAUCCGAGACUGGGCUUCCUAAGGCCAAGAGGAAAGAGAAUUCCUGCUAGAAAAUUAGAGAGGAGUGAGCCAAGAAUGAAGCUCCCACCUAUCUGCAUCCCUGGAAUGGUCAUGCCUUCAGAGGCAGAAGCACACUUUGAAGAGGACCUGCCAUGUAAUUUCCUCCUGUCUGUUCUCCGAGGCUCUGAGCAAGAUGCUCAGGGCCCACCAGAAGGCAUUCAGAAGCCUCUGUGUUACCCCUCAGCACUCACAUCGAGACCUUACACUCCUGUGUUGGAACCCCUACCUGAACCAAGGCCAGGAAGCCUGUGAGACACCUUCCUGUCCGUGGGCCAACAGUUUUCCAGAAAGCCAAGCCCUCCAUUGGCUCCAAAGCUCCCUUCCUGUAGAGGAUCCUGGAAGAGACGCAUGCGUGUGAAGCUUGUGCCGUGCAAGCUGGAGCAAUGGGCGUCAGGAGCGAGGGCAUUAGCUGGGAGGCUGAUGCUGAGAAGUCACAGUCAGCAGGAGAAGUGAGGGAGAUGCUCGGACUCUUGAACAGUCAGUGGGGAAAAGAACAUGCAGGGAGCACAUCGCAGAGGACUGUGCUGCACACCACUCCUGCUGCCUUUCCCAGGCAGAACUCUCGGCACCCUGUGCUGCUCAUGCCCCUGUCGCUCCCUGGCUCCCUCUCAGCCACUGGGGCUGCUACCGGUACCAGCUUGCAUGUCA